GAUGAACGCUGGCGGCGUGCCUAAUACAUGCAAGUCGAGCGAACAGACGAGGAGCUUGCUCCUCUGACGUUAGCGGCGGACGGGUGAGUAACACGUGUAUAACCUACCUAUAAGACUGGGAUAACUUCGGGAAACCGGAGCUAAUACCGGAUAAUAUAUUGAACCGCAUGGUUCAAUAGUGAAAGACGGUUUUGCUGUCACUUAUAGCUGGAUCCGCGCCGCAUUAGCUAGUUGGUAAGGUAACGGCCUACCAAGGCGACGAUGCGUAGCCGACCUGAGAGGGGGAUCGGCCACACUGGAACUGAGACACGGUCCAGACUCCUACGGGAGGCAGCAGUAGGGAAUCUUCCGCAAUGGGCGAAAGCUUGACGGAGCAACGCCGCGUGAGUGAUGAAGGUCUUCGGAUCGUAAAACUCUGUUAUUAGGGAAGAACAAAUGUGUAAGUAACUAUGCACGUCUUGACGGUACCUAAUCAGAAAGCCACGGCUAACUACGUG
This 497-nucleotide ribosomal RNA is filed under the name uncultured bacterium. RNAcentral describes it as "partial 16S ribosomal RNA". It matches the Rfam family "Bacterial small subunit ribosomal RNA", at positions 28 to 507 of the family's 1533-position model. The record is from RNAcentral.